This is a long non-coding RNA of Solea senegalensis (Senegalese sole), 601 nucleotides long. RefSeq lists it as uncharacterized. Lineage: Eukaryota; Metazoa; Chordata; Actinopteri; Pleuronectiformes; Soleidae. The record is from RefSeq and is a predicted model, not a curated record. The transcript is spliced from 3 exons.
UUCGAUUUAUAAAUGACUCUCCUGUGUCUGACUAACGCACGUGCCCUCCCUGUGUGUGUGUGUGUGUGUGUGUGUGUAGGCUCUCCGACAACUCCACGCUGACAACUCUGGAUGCACUUAAAGCUCGGAUACGGGAUUUGGAGAAACAGUUGUCCAAAGGAGACAGAUUUAAAUGCCUCAUCUGCAUGGACACGUACACAACUCCGCUCACCUCCAUCCAGUGCUGGCACGUUCACUGUGAGGAGUGUUGGCUUCGUACACUGGGAGCAAAGAAGUUGUGUCCUCAGUGCAACACCAUCACUUCACCUGGAGACCUGAGGCGGGUUUACCUGUGACGGGGAGGAGCUUCUUCUGUUGUAGCCAGUCGGGGGUGGACUUGUGGGCAGCUGGCCUGCCGUGGACUGCCAUCCUCUUCCUCCUUGGUUCAGUGUGCUCCUGAAUUCUGAAUGAAGAGUCGCAAACGAUCAUCCGUGACAGCCCUGUAUAAUAGCAAUGUUGCUGCAACAUCGACCAGAUCCAGAAGAAACAUCUAGAACCCACUGAGAUCUCAGGCACUGAACAAAACAAAAGAAAGAAAAUACAGAGAGAAAUGUUUUUGGAC